This 51-nucleotide ribosomal RNA is filed under the name Heterosigma akashiwo. RNAcentral describes it as "partial Eukaryotic small subunit ribosomal RNA". Lineage: Eukaryota; Raphidophyceae; Chattonellales; Chattonellaceae. The record is from RNAcentral.
CGGCUUAAUUUGACUCAACACGGGGAAACUUACCAAGUCCAGACAUAGACA